AAGAAACCAGAUUGUUUCUUUCUAAAUUCGGGUAGCCAUCUUCUUCCUCCACCAUUGAAGAGCUUCUCUCUCUCUCAUGCCAAACCUUACCUUUUCACCAUAAAACCCUUAACUUUCUUCACUAAACCUCUUCCUUGCACCUUAAAUAACAUCUAGCUAGCAAAAAGAAGAAGGAAAAAGGGAGAUUUAGGACUUGGAAGAGAGAUCAAUUGAGGUUAGUGACCAAUCUCCUCCCUUUCUUGUUUAAUUUAUGUUUAAU
This 259-nucleotide unclassified non-coding RNA is filed under the name Hevea brasiliensis (rubber tree). The record is from RNAcentral. Lineage: Eukaryota; Viridiplantae; Streptophyta; Magnoliopsida; Malpighiales; Euphorbiaceae.